This 1405-nucleotide ribosomal RNA is filed under the name metagenome. RNAcentral describes it as "bacterial LSU rRNA". It matches the Rfam family "Bacterial large subunit ribosomal RNA", at positions 1485 to 2910 of the family's 2925-position model. The record is from RNAcentral.
CCUCCGCGCCCUGACGGAAUAGGGCGUUGAAGGGCGUAGGCUAUGAUGAUGCCAGGCAAAUCCGGCAUCAGAGCUGAAACCUGAAAGUACGGGGUCCCCUUCGGGGGAACCUGAGAGCGAGGGUAAUCAUACUCCCGAGAAAAUGGGCUAAACUCAUGUUGGCGGUACCCGUACCGCAAACCGACACAGGUAGUUGGGUAGAACAUACUAAGGCGUUGAGAGAUUCAUGGCUAAGGAACUAGGCAAACUGACCCCGUAACUUCGGGAUAAGGGGUCCUCACCUCCGGGUGAGGCGCAGAGAAUAGGUCCAGGCAACUGUUUAACAAAAACACAGGGCUGUGCGAACUCGAAAGAUGAAGUAUACAGCCUGACACCUGCCCGGUGCCGGAAGGUUAAGAGGAGAUGUCACGGCAAGGGAAGCAUUGAAUUGAAGCCCCGGUAAACGGCGGCCGUAACAAUAACGGUCCUAAGGUAGCGAAAUUCCUUGUCGGGUAAGUUCCGACCUGCACGAAUGGUGUAAUGAUCCGGACGCUGUCUCGGCCAUGAGCUCAGUGAAAUUGUAGUAUCGGUGAAGAUGCCGAUUACCCGCGAUGGGACGAAAAGACCCCGUGAACCUUUACUACAGCUUAGCAUUGACCUUGGUCAUCCGAUGUGUAGGAUAGGCCGGAGGCUUCGAAGCGGAGUCGCCAGGCGUUGUGGAGCCAUCCUUGAAAUACGGCCCUUUGGCUGUCUGAGGUCUAACGCGGAUAGUCGCGGACACUGCUUGGUGGGUAGUUUGACUGGGGUGGUCGCCUCCAAAAGCGUAACGGAGGCUUCCAAAGGUGCCCUCGGGCCGUUUGGUAAGCGGCCUUCAAGAGUGCAAUGGCAAAAGGGCGCUUGACUGGGAGGGAGACAUCCCGAGCAGGCAGGAAACUGGGGCAUAGUGAUCCGGCGGAUGUGUAUGGAAACUCCGUCGCUCAAAGGAUAAAAGGUACUCCGGGGAUAACAGGCUGAUCCCCCCCAAGAGCUCAUAUCGACGGGGUGGUUUGGCACCUCGAUGUCGGCUCGUCACAUCCUGGGGCUGGAGAAGGUCCCAAGGGUUGGGCUGUUCGCCCAUUAAAGUGGCACGAGAGCUGGGUUCAGAACGUCGUGAGACAGUUCGGUCUCUAUCUAUCGUGGGCGCAGGAGUUUUGAGUGGUGCUGUCACUAGUACGAGAGGACCGUGACGGACAGACCUCCGGUGUACCGGUUGUGCCGCCAGGCGCACCGCCGGGUAUCCGCGUCUGGAUCGGAUAAGCGCUGAAAGCAUCUAAGUGCGAAGCUUUCCACGAGAUUAGAACUCCAUUGAGGGUCGUCGCAGACGACGACGUUGAUAGGGCGCAGGUGUAAAGACGGCGACGUCAAAGCCGAGCGCUACUAAUUGCCC